AACGUAGGAGACAAACGUUAUCCGGAUUUACUGGGCGUAAAGGGCGUGUAGGCGGUUUGUUAAGUCUGGCGUGAAAGCUCUCGGCUAAACCGGGAGAGGUCGUUGGAUACUGGCAAACUAGAGGAUGGUAGAGGCGUGUGGAAUUCCGGGUGUAGUGGUGAAAUGCGUAGAGAUCCGGAGGAACACCAGUGGCGAAGGCGACACGCUGGGCCAUACCUGACGCUAAAGCGCGACAGCAUGGGGAGCAAACGGG
This 253-nucleotide ribosomal RNA is filed under the name uncultured bacterium. Its description in RNAcentral is "partial 16S ribosomal RNA". It matches the Rfam family "Bacterial small subunit ribosomal RNA", at positions 524 to 776 of the family's 1533-position model. The record is from RNAcentral.